UACGGAGGGUGCGAGCGUUGUUCGAAAUUACUGGGCUUAAAGCGCGUGUAGGCGGGACUGUAAGUGUCGGGUGAAAGCCCUCGGCUCAACCGAGGAAUUGCUUGGCAUACUGCAGCCCUUGAGGCAUGUAGAGGUGACUGGAACGACUGGUGGAGCGGUGAAAUGCGUAGAUAUCAGUUGGAACGCCGGAGGCGAAAGCGGGUCACUGGGCAUGUCCUGACGCUGAGGAGCGAAAGCAUGGGGAGCGAACAGG
Molecule: ribosomal RNA, 253 nt
Filed under: uncultured bacterium
Lineage: Bacteria
Description: partial 16S ribosomal RNA
Rfam family: Bacterial small subunit ribosomal RNA
Source: RNAcentral